GAUGAACGCUGGCGGCGUGCCUAAUACAUGCAAGUCGAACGAGGUCUUCGGACCGAGUGGCGAACGGGUGAGUAACACGUUGGUACCUACCCCGAAGUGGGGAAUAACUGGCCGAAAGGUCGGCUAAUACCGCAUAAUACCGCAAGGUUAAAGCAGUAAUGCGCUUCGGGAGGGGCCUGCGUCCCAUUAGCUAGUUGGUGAGGUAAUUGCUCACCAAGGCAACGAUGGGUAGCUGGAUCGAGAGGUUGACCAGCCACACUGGGACUGAGAUACGGCCCAGACUCCUACGGGAGGCAGCAGUAAGGAAUCUUCACAAUGGACGAAAGUCUGAUGGAGCAACGCCGCGUGCA
RNAcentral lists this ribosomal RNA (350 nucleotides) under uncultured bacterium. RNAcentral describes it as "bacterial SSU rRNA". It matches the Rfam family "Bacterial small subunit ribosomal RNA", at positions 28 to 405 of the family's 1533-position model. The record is from RNAcentral.